This is a non-coding RNA of Gossypium hirsutum (cotton), 107 nucleotides long. NCBI's taxonomy places the organism in Eukaryota, Viridiplantae, Streptophyta, Magnoliopsida, Malvales, Malvaceae. The record is from Rfam.
AAUCCGUGGUGAGAGCAUUAUUGAAUCAACAUUUUGAAUCGUUCCCAUGCCUCAUAGAAACUUUCUCCCCCCAUUUGUCUAAAAACAACAAUUUCUCUUCUUAGUUG